This 472-nucleotide ribosomal RNA is filed under the name uncultured bacterium. RNAcentral describes it as "bacterial SSU rRNA". It matches the Rfam family "Bacterial small subunit ribosomal RNA", at positions 355 to 825 of the family's 1533-position model. The record is from RNAcentral.
UGGGGAAUUUUGGACAAUGGGCGCAAGCCUGAUCCAGCCAUGCCGCGUGCGGGAAGAAGGCCUUCGGGUUGUAAACCGCUUUUGUCAGGGAAGAAACGCUCUGGGCUAAUACCCUGGGGUAAUGACGGUACCUGAAGAAUAAGCACCGGCUAACUACGUGCCAGCAGCCGCGGUAAUACGUAGGGAGCAAGCGUUGUUCGGAUUUACUGGGCGUAAAGGGCGCGUAGGCGGCGCGGUAAGCCACUUGUGAAAUCUCUGAGCUUAACUCAGAACGGCCAAGUGAUACUGCAGUGCUAGAGUGCAGAAGGGGCAAUCGGAAUUCUUGGUGUAGCGGUGAAAUGCGUAGAUAUCAAGAGGAACACCUGAGGUGAAGACGGGUUGCUGGGCUGACACUGACGCUGAGGCGCGAAAGCUAGGGGAGCAAACGGGAUUAGAUACCCACGUAGUCCCUGAGCGGGCUGGCAAGGCGCAU